This 233-nucleotide ribosomal RNA is filed under the name uncultured bacterium. RNAcentral's name for it is "partial 16S ribosomal RNA". It matches the Rfam family "Bacterial small subunit ribosomal RNA", at positions 99 to 334 of the family's 1533-position model. The record is from RNAcentral.
CGGACGGGUGAGUAAUACAUAGGAAUCUACCCAGUAGUGGGGGAUAACUUGGAGAAAUCCAUGCUAAUACCGCAUAUGCCCUACGGGGCAAAGCAGGGGACCCUCGGGCCUUGCGCUAUUGGAUGAGCCUAUGUCGGAUUAGCUUGUUGGUGGGGGUAACGGCCUACCAAAGCGACGAUCCGUAGCUGGUCUGAGAGGAUGAUCAGCCACACUGGGACUGAGACACGGCCCAG